This 1095-nucleotide ribosomal RNA is filed under the name Triticum aestivum (bread wheat). RNAcentral describes it as "partial small subunit ribosomal RNA". The record is from RNAcentral. Lineage: Eukaryota; Viridiplantae; Streptophyta; Magnoliopsida; Poales; Poaceae.
AUGGAUGGCGCAUCUUGUGGACUGUUUAUGCUAAAUUUUAUGGAAUAUUGGACAGCAGAUGUAUUAACAGAUCAGUUCACCCAGGAAGAUAUCAAGCACUUUCGACGAAAAUUAGUUGUCAUUUUGCUCGAUUCAGAACUGAAUAAGCUAAAAGGAUGUCCGAUAUACCAUCAACCAGACAUUAAAGAAAAUGUAUCGAAAUCUGAUCUCGAGCUCCUAGAUAAUCCACCGGAUGGAGUCAAAGACAGACAUCCGAGCCCAAUCCUCAGCAUGCCCACGGAUCAAUUUGAAUUGCUUGUCGGCCUUUGCAACUAUAUCAUGUCCAUUGAUGAUGCCAGGUGUUUGGAAAAAGAAUGGGACCGAAGCUCGACACCCCGUCCAAUGGGCUUAAGUCUCAAAAAACUUCAAAGCAUACUUAACAUGAAGCAGUCUAUGGACAAUGAUUUUUCAACAUUGCUGUGCGUAUUCUGGCAUGUGACGAGGGAGUAUUGUUCACAGACCCUUCAAUACACUACAUGGAUCUACAAUUUUGUUCCAUGCUGUGGGAUUCAACACGAGAUCAAAAGUUUUUGCGAUAAGGAAACUAUUCAGAAGUUGGCAACUUUGUUUGAUAGCUGGCAUGGGAGAGACAACAACAUAUUAUCGUGCAACAUGGUCAUCGACAAAGAGGCAUGUCAUGUAUCUAUUCUGGAUCCUAUUCGUACAACACAAAUGACGAAGAUGAAAAAUUUGAGGCACUUAGUGAAAUUAAAAAGUUUUGCGAGGGAAUUCAAAGAAGCACUCGAAAUAAAGCAACCAGGAUGGCAUUCUGAUAUAUCAAAAUGCCAACGUGUAUUUCCUAAUGGUAUUCCAACGAGCAUAGACGGGGAUUUGUCAGGUUUUUAUGUCUUUCAUUUUAUGCUCUGGUGGAACGGUAAAGACCUUGUGCAACCGGUUUGUGCAGAUGGGUAUGAGUUGAGGAAGCUAAAGACAACUUGCCUGAUAUUGUGCGAGAAUUUCUUAAGCGCAUCAAGUAGAUCUCAAUAUUCUAUAAUAUAUUUUUAUUUGGAUCAUUACUUUACAUGUAUACGUUCUCAAUUUGAUAUCUUGUUAUGA